This 77-nucleotide ribosomal RNA is filed under the name Alistipes onderdonkii. RNAcentral's name for it is "partial 16S ribosomal RNA". It matches the Rfam family "Bacterial small subunit ribosomal RNA", at positions 1463 to 1533 of the family's 1533-position model. Lineage: Bacteria; Pseudomonadati; Bacteroidota; Bacteroidia; Bacteroidales; Rikenellaceae. The record is from RNAcentral.
CAAAACCGGUAACUGGGGCUAAGUCGUAACAAGGUAGCCGUACCGGAAGGUGCGGCUGGAACACCUCCUUUCUGGAG